RNAcentral lists this ribosomal RNA (468 nucleotides) under uncultured bacterium. RNAcentral's name for it is "partial 16S ribosomal RNA". It matches the Rfam family "Bacterial small subunit ribosomal RNA", at positions 28 to 507 of the family's 1533-position model. The record is from RNAcentral.
GACGAACGCUGGCGGCGUGCUUAACACAUGCAAGUCGAACGGAAAGGCCCUGCUUUUGUUGGGUUCUCGAGUGGCGAACGGGUGAGUAACACGUGAGUAACCUGCCCUUGUCUUUGUGAUAACUUCAGGAAACUGGGGCUAAUACCGGAUAGAAUCUCCUGCUGCAUGGUGGUGGUUGGAAAGUUUCGGCGGUUGGGGAUGUACUCGCGGGUUAUCAGCUUGUUUGUGGGGUAGUGGCUUACCAAGGGUUUGACGGGUAGCCGGCCUGAGAGGGUGACCGGCCACAUUGGGACUGAGAUACGGACCAGAAUCCUACGGGAGGCAGCAGUGGGGAAUAUUGCACAAUGGGCGGAAGCCUGAUGCAGAAACGCCGCGUGCGGGAUGACGGCCUUCGGGUUGUAAACAGAUUUCGCCUGUGACGAAGCGUGAGUGACGGUAAUGGGUAAGGAAGCACCGGCUAACUACGUG